Molecule: ribosomal RNA, 246 nt
Filed under: uncultured bacterium
Lineage: Bacteria
Description: partial 16S ribosomal RNA
Rfam family: Bacterial small subunit ribosomal RNA
Source: RNAcentral
GAUCAUGGCUCAGGAUGAACGCUGGCGGCGUGCCUAACACAUGCAAGUCGAACGGAGAUUACGGACGGAAGUUUUCGGAUGGAAGUUUGUAAUUCUUAGUGGCGGACGGGUGAGUAACGCGUGGGCAACCUGCCCUAUACAGGGGGGAUAGCAGCUGGAAACGGCUGGUAAGACCGCAUAAGUCGGUUAAAUCGCAUGAUUUGAUCGGGAAAUGAGCAAUCAGGUAUAGGAUGGGCCCGCGUCCGA